This 5187-nucleotide long non-coding RNA is filed under the name Medicago truncatula (barrel medic). RNAcentral describes it as "long non-coding RNA (MTRU_LNC004974)". The record is from RNAcentral. Lineage: Eukaryota; Viridiplantae; Streptophyta; Magnoliopsida; Fabales; Fabaceae.
CAAUUACAACUUAAGGAUGUUAGCUUUAAUGGAUCAUGGGAUUGGAAUAAAUUGAUGACAAUAGUUCCAAACGAGCUAAUCACGACUGUUGAUCAGUUCCUUCCUCCUCUGGCCUUUGAUGAUGAUAUUCAGGAUAGAUGGGUUAGGGGAGCUUCUAAAACAGGAAGGUAUUCUUGUUCUACAACAUAUAGUUGGCUUUUACCUCGUUAUAGAGAGUUGAAUGAUAAUGAAAGUUGGGUUGGAUAUGGAAAUUGUCAAUUCCGGCCAAGAUGCAACAUGUAACACCCCGUUUUUCCAAUAUGAAAAUUUCUAAGCAAUUAUCAGAGUAAACAUCAUAAACGGGAUAUCACAUUCAAACAUAAUCCAAAAAUCAAUUAAAUAACAAUUUAACUUUCAACAAAAUAUCGUAAACAAUGCAGCGGAAAUUCAAUCGAAAUCCAUAAAAUCGUUUUGCCACGUAGGCCCCAUCAAAAUAUCUUAAAAGAGAGUUAAUCAAUAACAUAAAUAACAUAAUUGUUCACGUAAGAGAAUGAAGCAUGCAUAUCAUAAACCCCAUCCUGUUACGUAUCAGAGCGACCUAGACGACACAGUGAGGCAAGGCCACUCACGACAGCAAUAUGCACACUAAGCUCGAUCACCUGCAAGUUACUCAUACGAAGAGCAACAUUUCCAAGCAGAAGGGGUGAGAUUUCACAAAACAAUAAUAUUAAUCAAUAUAAUUCAACAAUUAUAAUUAACAACAUAAACAUCUUAAACAUCAUAGUAUCAUUGAUAAACAAAUAUCAGAUAAUCACUUAUUCAAAACAUCUUAAACAAAAUAACAUUUUUCAUCAAUUGACUCGACAAUGAGACAAUGCAACUUAGACCUCUUAUAUGCAUGUGGUAGCAUUACAGGGCAUGAGCCCCCAUCAUCAUAAUAUUAAUAUACUUUAAGCAUCGUGGGGAGGACAAAGCUCCAAUCGUGGUGAGGACAAAGCUCAAUUCGUGGUGAGGACAAAGCUCAAUGUAUGCUAAUGCAUGGACUCAAUCAUCUAAACAUCUUAAUCAUCAAUCUCUCAUACAUCCAAUAAUUUGGAGUUCAUCAUCAUCUUAUUCAGACUCAUGCAACUUAGUUAAAUAACGAUAGCAGCAUAAUCAGAUCACAUCAACAGCUUAAUAUCAAUUCAUUUUCAACAACUUUUUUAUCAUUCAAUAAUAAUUCAAGUAAUGCAAUCAAUUAAUAAAUCACAUUAUAAUCACUUAGCAUUUCAUAAUAGCUUCACAGUUUUCAGUUAACAUCCUAAAUAGGUCUCACUAUAACCUAAAGUUCCAUUCCUAAUCAAUUCAAGCACCUAAAGCCUCAAACUUCUCAAAUGCACUCAGUUUUGGAAGUGCUCGCGAGGCGAGAGCAUCUGCUCGCCAUGGCGAGUACUUGCCAGAUUUCCAACUAAGGUUGUUUCCAGGUUCAAUCUUGUUCUAAAACAUCCUCUAAUCUUUAGUAAACAUCUAAAGGUACUCAAAAGCAUCUAAGGUUCAACUCAAAAGUCAAAAACUCAGAAUUCGACAUGCUCUCUGUGGCGAGCUACGACAUGUAACUCGCGAGGCGAGGGGUAUUGGCUCGCGUGGCGAGCGAUGAACUUAUCACUCGCGAGGCGAGGUUCAUUGCUCACUAUGGCGAGCGAUGAAUGUAGGCUCGGGUAGAAUGCAAUUUUUACGAAAAAUACAUGAUUUCACAUGGUUCUAAGCCUAAUUUCAAUUCCAGAAUUCAUUCUAAACAUAAUCUAAGGUCAAGGGACGUUUUCUACAACAAUCUAACAACUUAUCAUCAUCGGAUCAUUAAAUUAUCUUAUUAACCCUAAUUUCAAAACCUUUCUAAUUCAAUCCUAACUUUGUUUAUUAAUCAUCAGAAUCAUAAGGAUCAAUAUUACUGAAUCAUUAGUCUCACCCUUACCUUAAUUGAAGAAAUCGCAGCUCUCCUAGGUGUUUUUGCUCUUCUCUUGGUUUUUCCUCCUUUUCUCCAAAAACAGUCGUACGUACUAAUUUUCUGCAAACCUAGGUCUUCCUUUUUAUAUCUCCUCCUAAUAUCUUAUCUUAUCUCACUUUCUCCCCCAAAACUCUUUAAAAUCUCAAAACAGCCCUCAACUAAAUAUUUUAUUUUAUUUUCAAAUCUUAUUUUAUUUAACAAUAAAAUAAGUCUCAUAAUCUCAUCAAAACAUCAAAACACAUCAAAAUCUUCCAAAUCAUCUAAAUCGUCAUAAUUCAUCAAAAAUCAGACAUAUAUUAUAUAAAUAUAAUAUAACUUGCCUAGACUCGAUUAAAUAAUUAAUUAAACGAAAGUGGACGUUACACAACAUUUCAUGUGGUUUUGCAUGCACAAUGCAAUCCCAACUAAUAAGCUUCGAUAUCACUACAACUUGGCAACUUCUCCGGUUUGCCAGCAAUGUGGAAAAUACGAUGAAGAUGUGCUUCACUACCUUGGUGAUAUUGGUUUUGGAGGUUUACUUCGUGAUAACAAGGGAAAUUGGAUAGCUGGAUUCUCUUCUAAUGAUGGGCAAGGGGAUGCGCUUUUCGCUGAGCUAUUUGGGGUUUACCAUGGUUUGAUGUUGGUAAUCAACAACUCUAUUCAACGAAUUAUUUGCGAAACAUAUUCUUUGGAAGUCUUCCGUCUUCUUCAAGAUCUAGAUCACUCUCAUAUGCAUGUGUAUGCCUCUUUGUUGGUGAAGAUUUUUGGGUUAAAGGAGCAUAUUUGUAACAUUUCUCUCCAACAUGUGCUUCGAGAGGGCAACCAUUGCGCAUAUUUUUUGGCCAAGCUCGGGAGCUCUUCAAGAUUAGGUGUGACUUUUUGGCAUGUUCCCCCAUCGGAGUUGAAGUCAGUCUUGAGGCUUGAUGCCCCAGGCUGAGCCCUGUUUUUAGGUUUUUUCUCUUUUUUUCUUUUUCUUUUGUCAUUUUACAAAAAAAAAAAAUAUAUAUAUCGUAUUUGUUACAAUUUUUUAAUAUUUAAAUUUAUUCGUAUGUAUUUGUCACAUGUAUUAUUUGUAUUGAAAAUUAAGAUCAUUUUUGGAAAGAGAAAAAAGAGUUGAAAGAGAUUAUUUUCUCUAUAUAUAGUAUAUAGAUAUAGAUUAUUAUUAUUAUUAUUAUUAUUAUCCUUUACUGUGACGAGUCAUCUUACGUUAUUUUUCGCAUAUUUUUCAGUCAUUUUAGUAAUUAUUUCAUCCAAAUUAUAAAAGUUUUUAAACAAUUGCCUAUAGUUUAUGAGACAUUUUGUAAUAUUUUCGUCUCGUUAGCAUGUUAGUUUUGUAAUUAAUUAUAUUAAUUGUAUAAUCUGCUAUAUAAUUUAUCACAUUCUUUAUGAUUCAAUGGACUGUCAAUAUAUUCCUAAGGGUUCGAAUGCCCUCUAGAAAGGCUAAGGCGCCCUCCUAGUAAAAAGACUUGAAGCCCACAUUACUUGGGGCUUAAGUCACGAAAAAUCAAGCCCACGGAGGACAAUAAAUACACCUCUUAAGAGAAUUCUCAAGCCAUCACAUAAACAGUCUAAAGCCUAGAUUCUAAUAUUGUACUCACUCCAAGUAUACCGAAUGAUUUCAUAAAAUAAAUAUAUUGAUCCUAUAAUAUGUUUCGCUUAUGAAUAAGAAAUUGACUCACUUAGAAGGCACGGGUUCAACUACCAUUUCCAACGUGAGGACCUUGUGCGGAGGGUGUGUACCUUUUUUCUUCAUAAUGCAUGGUGCACAUAGAACUAUUGCAUUUUUCACUAUUUUCUUCAAUCUUCAUGUGUUUUUAAUCCUUGAUAUGAGGUUGGGAUUUGAGACAGAAUUCCAAAGUUUCUUGAACUUCAAAAUUUUCAUCGUACUUGAUCCUACUUGCUUUUAUAACUUCUAUAAAGAUGUCUUUUGUUGGCUUAGUCCCAUGAUCUAUACCCAAAGAGACUCAAAACACCUAUCGAAUGUUCUAGUGAGGGAAGAAACAUAAAUAUUAAAUAUAAUGACACAAAACAUAGCAUGACAAAAGAAGAAAUGACACGAUAAAAUUUUAAAAUAAAUCAUUUGAUGAGGAAUCAUCACCUUCCCUGACCCUAUAGUGAAUCCCUCACCUAAAAUAUUUUUCACAAAAUAAUAAAAUAAAAAAUCUCUUUACUAUAACGAAAGGUUAAAAAGGCAAUGAUUUUAUAAGGAUAAGGUAAUGAAAAGUUACUUAAAUAAUUAAUAUUCGGUUCUUAUCAUUAUUAAGUUUAUUAUAUGAUCAAAACUCAUUGAUAUACUUAAGUGGCAUUUUGUAAGAGUUCUAAUUUCAUGAAGGGUUUCUAAAAUUUCAUUAAUGCUUAAAGUUUUUAAGUAUUUUCAUGAUAGAAUGAACUUUAUACUUUCCUCAAAAAAAGAAUUAACUAAUCUAUACACUAUAAAAAGAUGAAAUCAUAUCCUAUAUUUUAGAUUCAAAGAGGAAAAAUAUGGCUGAAAUUGUUAAGUUUUUUUAUGUUUUGUUUUUAUUUAUUUCCACACCUUUUAUCAUUAAAAAACCUGGUUCUCCUAAUUUGAGAAAUCAUUCUUGUUUAAGAGAUAAAGAUUGUCCACAGUUAAAAUUUCAUAAUAUUAGGUGUCGUAAUGGCUUUUGUGUAGAUAUCAGGUAAAAGAUUUCUUUUCCCUGGCAAAAUAAAUGUACAAUAUAUCUUAUGAUAGAAUAUUUCAUGAGAUGUCAUUUAGUUUUUGUGCUUGUAUCGAAUAAUUGUAUUUUCUUUUCCUUCUUUUUUAUCCUAAUUUUAUGGAUCUUGAAGUUAUGUUUUUUUUACUCUACGAUGAUGGCAAUGAAAUGAAAUAAGGCGGAAAAGAGUUCUAUUUAUAAUAUCAUUUGCUUGUAAAUUUUGAGGUAUAACCUUUACCUGCAAUUAUGACAUAUCACACCUUAUUUCCAAUUCCACCACCUAUAAAAAUUACUUUAGUAGGUUAUAAUAAGGGGAACUUCUACGGCACACUCGUAAAUUACAGUGUACCGGUACUCUUGUUUCCUAAAUCUAUAAAUUAACGAUCAAUUUUAUAAAACAAAUAGUUAUUUAUCGGCAUUUAUAUUUUAGAAAAUAUAAUUUCAUAAGAAAAACAAGUCAUCUAUUGUUUAUAAGAAUCAUAGUAAAUUUUUUACAUAUUAUUGUAUAAAAUAAUCAAAGUUCUCUAUUAUGAGUGAUCAAAAUUCAAAAGAAUUCAAUUUUAUUUCGUUGAC